GAAAUGCGAUAAGUAAUGUGAAUUGCAAAAUUCAGUGAAUCAUCGAAUCUUUGAACGCACAUUGCGCCCGCCAGCACUCUGGCGGGCAUGCCUGUUCGAGCGUCAUUUCAACCCUCAGAACCCCUUGCGGGAUCUGGCGUUGGGGAUUGGCAUCCAGCCAGCCCCGAAAUCUAGUGGCGGUCCCUCCGCGACCUCCCCUGUGCAGUAGCGAUACCUCGCAGCGGGACAGCGGUCUGACCACGCCGUAAAACCCCCAACUUCUCAAGGUUGACCUCGAAUCAGGUAGGAAUACCCGCUGAACUUAAGC
Molecule: unclassified non-coding RNA, 307 nt
Filed under: plant metagenome
Description: partial contains 5.8S ribosomal RNA, internal transcribed spacer 2, and large subunit ribosomal RNA
Rfam family: 5.8S ribosomal RNA (bases 1-105)
Source: RNAcentral